RNAcentral lists this ribosomal RNA (253 nucleotides) under uncultured bacterium. RNAcentral describes it as "partial 16S ribosomal RNA". It matches the Rfam family "Bacterial small subunit ribosomal RNA", at positions 524 to 776 of the family's 1533-position model. The record is from RNAcentral.
GACGAACCGAGCGACCGUUAUUCGGAAUCACUGGGCUUAAAGGGCGCGUAGGCGGGCCGCCAAGUCAGGGGUGAAAGCCCCCAGCUCAACUGGGGAAGUGCCUUUGAUACUGGCGGUCUCGAGGGGGAUAGGGGCGUGCGGAACUUCCGGUGGAGCGGUGAAAUGCGUAGAUAUCGGAAGGAACACCGGUGGCGAAAGCGGCGCGCUGGAUCCCUUCUGACGCUGAGGCGCGAAAGCCAGGGGAGCGAACGGG